Molecule: ribosomal RNA, 433 nt
Filed under: uncultured bacterium
Lineage: Bacteria
Description: partial 16S ribosomal RNA
Rfam family: Bacterial small subunit ribosomal RNA
Source: RNAcentral
AACGAACGCUGGCGGCAUGCCUAACACAUGCAAGUCGAACGAGACCUUCGGGUCUAGUGGCGCACGGGUGCGUAACACGUGGGAAUCUGCCCUUUGCUUCGGAAUAACAGUUAGAAAUGACUGCUAAUACCGGAUGAUGUCGAAAGACCAAAGAUUUAUCGGCAAAGGAUGAGCCCGCGUAGGAUUAGGUAGUUGGUGGGGUAAAGGCCUACCAAGCCGACGAUCCUUAGCUGGUCUGAGAGGAUGAUCAGCCACACUGGGACUGAGACACGGCCCAGACUCCUACGGGAAGCAGCAGUGGGGAAUAUUGGACAAUGGGCGAAAGCCUGAUCCAGCAAUGCCGCGUGAGUGAUGAAGGCCUUAGGGUUGUAAAGCUCUUUUACCAGGGAUGAUAAUGACAGUACCUGGGGAAUAAGCGCCGGCUAACUCCGUG